Motacilla alba alba is the source of this 513-nucleotide long non-coding RNA. RefSeq lists it as uncharacterized. The record is from RefSeq and is a predicted model, not a curated record. The transcript has 3 exons. NCBI's taxonomy places the organism in Eukaryota, Metazoa, Chordata, Aves, Passeriformes, Motacillidae.
UCACAUGGGGAUCACUCUAAAGGGAUUAAGAUCUUUGCUUUUUUAGCACAGCAAAACCAGUGAGACCUGAUGGGUUUUAUGGGACAUCCCUGGAGCUGAGAGCCAAUCCAUCUACCAAGUCCUGGCACUUCCAUGGAAACAUGAUGGGUCUAACAAGACCAGAAUGGCUGAAGUACCACAACUAUCAGCAUGCACUAUUGUUGCUUUGCUGAAGACCGAAAUGGAUGGAAGAAAAUCCUGCCUGAGACAAGACAAUGGCAUGUUCUCAAAAUGAAAAAUAGCAAGAGCAGUGGAAGUUACAUACACAAAACCUUCUGUUCCCGUCAUAAAUUGAUAAUCAUGCCAUCUUGGGUGGGAAGCUUAUUCUCAUCUCUGGGGUAUAAGCAGUGUGUUUCUACUGAUGAAGUGAUUAUGAAAUUUGAAAAGAUAAGCAAUCAUAAAGUUAAAAUUAUAAUACUGUUUGUGAUAUUGGACAAGAGGCAGUUACUCUCUGAGUAUCUUUGUGGAGCUGUU